This 424-nucleotide ribosomal RNA is filed under the name uncultured bacterium. RNAcentral's name for it is "bacterial SSU rRNA". It matches the Rfam family "Bacterial small subunit ribosomal RNA", at positions 355 to 776 of the family's 1533-position model. The record is from RNAcentral. RNAcentral also lists the same sequence under 1 other name.
UGAGGAAUAUUGGUCAAUGGGCGCGAGCCUGAACCAGCCAAGUCGCGUGAGGGAUGACGGCCCUACGGGUUGUAAACCUCUUUUGUCGGGGAGCAAAUUCCGUUACGUGUAACGGAGUCGAGAGUACCCGAAGAAAAAGCAUCGGCUAACUCCGUGCCAGCAGCCGCGGUAAUACGGAGGAUGCGAGCGUUAUCCGGAUUUAUUGGGUUUAAAGGGUGCGUAGGCGGACUGUCAAGUCAGCGGUAAAAUACGGGGGCUCAACCUCCGCCCGCCGUUGAAACUGACGGUCUUGAGUGGGCGAGAAGUAUGCGGAAUGCGUGGUGUAGCGGUGAAAUGCAUAGAUAUCACGCAGAACUCCGAUUGCGAAGGCAGCAUACCGGCGCCCAACUGACGCUGAAGCACGAAAGCGUGGGUAUCGAACAGG